This 468-nucleotide ribosomal RNA is filed under the name uncultured bacterium. RNAcentral's name for it is "partial 16S ribosomal RNA". It matches the Rfam family "Bacterial small subunit ribosomal RNA", at positions 28 to 507 of the family's 1533-position model. The record is from RNAcentral.
GACGAACGCUGGCGGCGUGCUUAACACAUGCAAGUCGAACGGUGAUGCUCCAGCUUGCUGGCGUGGAUCAAUGGCGAAAGGGUGAGUAACACGUGAGCAACCUGCCCCAGACUUUGGCAUAAGCGCUGGAAACGGCGUCUAAUACUGGAUACGAAACUGGCCCGCAUGGGCAUGGUUUGGAAAGUUUUUCGGUUUGGGAUGGGCUCGCGGCCUAUCAGCUUGUUGGUGAGGUAAUGGCUCACCAAGGCGACGACGGGUAGCCGGCCUGAGAGGGCGACCGGCCACACUGGGACUGAGACACGGCCCAGACUCCUACGGGAGGCAGCAGUGGGGAAUAUUGCACAAUGGGCGAAAGCCUGAUGCAGCGACGCCGCGUGAGGGAUGACGGCCUUCGGGUUGUAAACCUCUUUCAGCAGGGAAGAAGCGAAAGUGACGGUACCUGCAGAAGAAGCACCGGCUAACUACGUG